GACGAACGCUGGCGGCGUGCUUAACACAUGCAAGUCGAACGGAAAGGCCCUGCUUUUGUGGGGUGCUCGAGUGGCGAACGGGUGAGUAACACGUGAGUAACCUGCCCUUGACUUUGGGAUAACUUCAGGAAACUGGGGCUAAUACCGGAUAGGAGCUCCUGCUGCAUGGUGGGGGUUGGAAAGUUUCGGCGGUUGGGGAUGGACUCGCGGCUUAUCAGCUUGUUGGUGGGGUAGUGGCUUACCAAGGCUUUGACGGGUAGCCGGCCUGAGAGGGUGACCGGCCACAUUGGGACUGAGCUACGGCCCAGACUCCUCCGGGAGGCAGCAGUGGGGAAUAUUGCACAAUGGGCGGAAGCCUGAUGCAGCAACGCCGCGUGCGGGAUGACGGCCUUCGGGUUGUAAACCGCUUUCGCCUGUGACGAAGCGUGAGUGACGGUAAUGGGUAAAGAAGCACCGGCUAACUACGUG
This 468-nucleotide ribosomal RNA is filed under the name uncultured bacterium. RNAcentral describes it as "partial 16S ribosomal RNA". It matches the Rfam family "Bacterial small subunit ribosomal RNA", at positions 28 to 507 of the family's 1533-position model. The record is from RNAcentral.